UGAGGGAUAUUGGUCAAUGGGCGCAAGCCUGAACCAGCGACGCCGCGUGGGUGAAGAAGGUCUUCGGAUCGUAAAGCCCUUUUCCCACUGAAGAGGAAGGACGGUAGGUGGGGAAGAAGUCUCGGCUAACUACGUGCCAGCAGCCGCGGUAAAACGUAGGAGACAAGCGUUAUCCGGAGUUACUGGGCGUAAAGGGCGUGGAGGUGGCGUCUUAAGUCUGUUGUGAAAGCGCCUGGCUUAACCGGGCGAGGCCAAUGGAGACGGAGAGGCUGGAGGACGGCGGAGGGGUGUGGAAUUCCGGUUGUAGUGGUGAAAUGCGUAGAGAUCCGGAGGAACACCAGAGGCGAAGGCGGCACUCUAAGCCGUACCUGACACUGAGACGCGACAGCACGGGGAGCAAACG
Molecule: ribosomal RNA, 403 nt
Filed under: uncultured bacterium
Lineage: Bacteria
Description: bacterial SSU rRNA
Rfam family: Bacterial small subunit ribosomal RNA
Source: RNAcentral